GCCCCCAUCGUCUAGAGGCCUAGGACGACACCCUUUCAAGGUGUAGACAGCGAUUCGAAUUCGCUUGGGGGCA
RNAcentral lists this transfer RNA (73 nucleotides) under Chloroflexota bacterium. RNAcentral describes it as "Chloroflexi bacterium (groundwater metagenome) tRNA-Glu". It matches the Rfam family "tRNA". From Rfam's summary of the family: Transfer RNA (tRNA) molecules are approximately 80 nucleotides in length. Their secondary structure includes four short double-helical elements and three loops (D, anti-codon, and T loops). Further hydrogen bonds mediate the characteristic L-shaped molecular structure. tRNAs have two regions of fundamental functional importance: the anti-codon, which is responsible for specific mRNA codon recognition, and the 3' end, to which the tRNAs corresponding amino acid is attached (by aminoacyl-tRNA synthetases). tRNAs cope with the degeneracy of the genetic code in two manners: having more than one tRNA (with a specific anti-codon) for a particular amino acid; and 'wobble' base-pairing, i.e. permitting non-standard base-pairing at the 3rd anti-codon position. Lineage: Bacteria; Bacillati; Chloroflexota. The record is from RNAcentral. RNAcentral also lists the same sequence under 2 other names.